GAUGAAGAACGUAGCGAAAUGCGAUAAGUAAUGUGAAUUGCAGAAUUCAGUGAAUCAUCGAAUCUUUGAACGCACACUGCGCCCCCUGGUAUUCCGGGGGGCAUGCCUGUCCGAGCGUCAUUACAACCCUCAAGCUCAGCUUGGUGUUGGGCCCCGCCGCCCCGGCGGGCCCUAAAGUCAGUGGCGGUGCCGUCCGGCUCCGAGCGUAGUAAUUCUUCUCGCUCUGGAGGUCCGGUCGUGUGCUCGCCAGCAACCCCCAAUUUUUUCAGGUUGACCUCGGAUCAGGUAGGGAUACCCGCUGAACUUAAGCAUAUCAAUAAGCGGAGGA
This 328-nucleotide unclassified non-coding RNA is filed under the name soil metagenome. Its description in RNAcentral is "partial contains 5.8S ribosomal RNA, internal transcribed spacer 2, and large subunit ribosomal RNA". The stretch from base 1 to 120 matches the Rfam family "5.8S ribosomal RNA", at positions 35 to 154 of the family's 154-position model. The record is from RNAcentral.